GACGAACGCUGGCGGCGUGCUUAACACAUGCAAGUCGAACGGAAAGGCCCUGCUUGCAGGGUACUCGCGUGGCGAACGGGUGAGUAACACGUGGGUGAUCUGCCCUGCACUUCGGGAUAAGCUUGGGAAACUGGGUCUAAUACCGGAUAGGAACCAUCUUUAGUGUGGUGGUUGGAAAGUUUUUUCGGUGUAGGAUGAGCUCGCGGCCUAUCAGCUUGUUGGUGGGGUAAUGGCCUACCAAGGCGGCGACGGGUAGCCGGCCUGAGAGGGUGUACGGUCACAUUUGAGCUGAGAUACGGCGCAGACGCCCACGGGAGGCAGGAGUGGGGAAUAUUGCACAAUGGGCGCAAGCCUGAUGCAGCGACGCCGCGUGGGGUAUGAAGGCCUGCGGGUUGUAAACUCGUUGCUCUAGGGACGAAGCUUUGUUGUGACGGUACCUAGAUAAGAAGCACCGGCUAACUACGUG
This 466-nucleotide ribosomal RNA is filed under the name uncultured bacterium. RNAcentral describes it as "partial 16S ribosomal RNA". It matches the Rfam family "Bacterial small subunit ribosomal RNA", at positions 28 to 507 of the family's 1533-position model. The record is from RNAcentral.